AAGCCAGACUCCUACGGGAGGCAGCAGUGGGGGAUAUUGCACAAUGGGGGGAACCCUGAUGCAGCGACGCCGCGUGGGUGAAGGAGUGCUUCGGCAUGUAAAGCCCUAUCGGCAGGGAAGAAGCAAGACGGUACCUGACUAAGAAGCCCCGGCUAACUACGUGCCAGCAGCCGCGGGAAUACGUAGGGGGCGAGCGUUAUCCGGAUUCACUGGGUGUAAAGGGAGCGUAGACGGCCAUGCAAGCCAGGGGCGAAAGCCCGGGGCCCAACCCCGGGACUGCCCUUGGAACUGCAUGGCUGGAGUGCGGGAGGGGCAGGCGGAAUUCCUGGUGUAGCGGUGAAAUGCGUAGAUAUCAGGAGGAACACCGGUGGCGAAGGCGGCCUGCUGGACUGCAACUGACGUUGAGGCCCGAAAGCGUGGGGAGCAAACAGGAUUAGAUACCCGCGUACA
Molecule: ribosomal RNA, 450 nt
Filed under: uncultured bacterium
Lineage: Bacteria
Description: bacterial SSU rRNA
Rfam family: Bacterial small subunit ribosomal RNA
Source: RNAcentral